Molecule: transfer RNA, 70 nt
Filed under: Pangasianodon gigas (Mekong giant catfish)
Lineage: Eukaryota; Metazoa; Chordata; Actinopteri; Siluriformes; Pangasiidae
Description: tRNA-Arg
Source: RNAcentral
UCCCUGGAGGACUAGUGGUUAGGCCACGGUGCUCUCCACCAUGGCCCGGGUUCGAUUCCCAGGCAGGGAA